Hyaena hyaena (striped hyena) is the source of this 104-nucleotide small nuclear RNA. NCBI's taxonomy places the organism in Eukaryota, Metazoa, Chordata, Mammalia, Carnivora, Hyaenidae. The record is from RefSeq and is a predicted model, not a curated record.
GUGCUUGCUUUGGCAGCACACAUACUGAAAUUGGAGCAAUACAGAGAUAAGCACAGCCCCUCUGCAAGGAUGACAUGCAAAUUUGUGAAGCAUUCCAUAUUUUA